AAACAUUUCUAUUAAAUUAACUAAUAGUAAAAUCUGCUCAAUGAAAGUUAAAUAGCCGCAACACGUGCUAAGGUAGUAUAAUAAUUUGUCUUAUAAUUAAAGACUAAUCAAAAGAUUUAACAUUUUUUUUAAUAUUAAACAUUUAAACAUAUAAACUCUUCUAAUUAUUAAAAAAUAAUUAUUUCCUAAAAAGACGACAAGACCCUAUUGAACUUAACUUCAGUUAAACUGGGGUAGUUGAUUAAAUAUAUCUUAAUAUUAAUUUGAUUUUAUAAGACCUAAUAUAAUUAAUUUAAAGAUUAAGUUACCAUAGGGAUAACAGCGCAAUAAUUCUUAAAAUUCUAUUUUAAAAAUAAAUUACGACCUCGAUGUUGAAUUAAUUUCCUAAUUUACGCAAUAGUAAAAAAAGUAAGUCUGUUCGACUUUUAAAAAAUUACAUGAUCUGAGUUCAAAACCGGAGA
This 461-nucleotide ribosomal RNA is filed under the name Centroctenus sp. RNAcentral's name for it is "partial large subunit ribosomal RNA". The record is from RNAcentral. Lineage: Eukaryota; Metazoa; Arthropoda; Arachnida; Araneae; Ctenidae.